RNAcentral lists this RNase P RNA (318 nucleotides) under uncultured Dysosmobacter sp. Its description in RNAcentral is "Bacterial RNase P class A". It matches the Rfam family "Bacterial RNase P class A", at positions 43 to 362 of the family's 367-position model. From Rfam's summary of the family: Ribonuclease P (RNase P) is a ubiquitous endoribonuclease, found in archaea, bacteria and eukarya as well as chloroplasts and mitochondria. Its best characterised activity is the generation of mature 5'-ends of tRNAs by cleaving the 5'-leader elements of precursor-tRNAs. Lineage: Bacteria; Bacillati; Bacillota; Clostridia; Eubacteriales; Oscillospiraceae. The record is from RNAcentral.
GAGGAAAGUCCGGGCUCCACAGGGCAAGGAUAACGGGUAACGCCCGCCGAAGGCAACUUCAGGAAAAGUGCAACAGAGAUAUACCGCCUCACCGGCGCAUCCCCACCGGGGCCGCCUGUGGGGUAAGGGUGGAAAGGUGCGGUAAGAGCGCACCCGAUGCCGGGGAACCGCGCAUCGCUGUAAACUCUAUCCGGAGCAACACCGUGGUGGAAGCAACAGGCUGGCCCGGCCGCUUCCGGGAGGUGGCUUGAGCGCGUCGGCAAUGGCGCGCCUAGAUAGAUGACUGUUUGAUACAGAACCCGGCUUACAGUUUUCCUC